CCGGGCCGUCGGCUCUGGGCUGGGCGCUGAGGGCGGGUGGUGGCCUCUGAAAGCAGGGAUCGCCGUGCCCCUGAACGCCUGGCACGGCUGCCGCCACUCGAGUCAGUGGUCAGAACAAAAGGUGCGCUGGGGCAGUGGUGGCUACCGGCGAGUGUUUGGCCGGAGGGGUUUCCUCUGUCCUCCACCAGCUAGCUCUGCAAAGUGAAGUUGCUGACACAUGAAAACCCGCGGGACGCUGGCAGCGUUCUGCCUAAAGCUUUGAGCUGAGCGGUAUAAAACAGACAUCUCCGGAGCCUCCUGGAACUCGCAAGGUGUUUGCAGGCUCCAGACAACCGUCAGUUUGCAGGUUACUCGCUGGGCUGCACGAUCUACUAUGAAGGAAAAGGAAACAAGGAAAACCACCGAGCAUUUCAAGCCAACCAUGAGCCCUAAAUUGGCCAGGCACUGCCCUAAAGGAAGAAAUACUACUCAGAAACACCAAGAAGAAUCUUAGCAGAUAAGGGUAAGAUGACUUCCUCGUCUAGUUUUUUGGCAUUUUUAGCAAACCUAAGA
Molecule: long non-coding RNA, 552 nt
Filed under: Meriones unguiculatus (Mongolian gerbil)
Lineage: Eukaryota; Metazoa; Chordata; Mammalia; Rodentia; Muridae
Description: lncRNA (ENSMUGG00000025924.1)
Source: RNAcentral